Non-coding RNA from Schistocephalus solidus, 73 nucleotides. NCBI's taxonomy places the organism in Eukaryota, Metazoa, Platyhelminthes, Cestoda, Diphyllobothriidea, Diphyllobothriidae. The record is from Rfam.
GCGCUGGUGGCGCAGUGGGUAGAGCGUUAGAUUUGUGCUCAAAAAGUCGUCAGUUCGAGCCUCGUUCGCCGCA